This 850-nucleotide ribosomal RNA is filed under the name Acinetobacter sp. y7c9. Its description in RNAcentral is "bacterial SSU rRNA". It matches the Rfam family "Bacterial small subunit ribosomal RNA", at positions 65 to 908 of the family's 1533-position model. Lineage: Bacteria; Pseudomonadati; Pseudomonadota; Gammaproteobacteria; Moraxellales; Moraxellaceae. The record is from RNAcentral.
AGCGGGGAUAGGGUGCUUGCACCUGAUUCCUAGCGGCGGACGGGUGAGUAAUGCUUAGGAAUCUGCCUAUUAGUGGGGGACAACGUUCCGAAAGGGACGCUAAUACCGCAUACGUCCUACGGGAGAAAGCAGGGGAUCUUCGGACCUUGCGCUAAUAGAUGAGCCUAAGUCGGAUUAGCUAGUUGGUGGGGUAAAGGCCUACCAAGGCGACGAUCUGUAGCGGGUCUGAGAGGAUGAUCCGCCACACUGGGACUGAGACACGGCCCAGACUCCUACGGGAGGCAGCAGUGGGGAAUAUUGGACAAUGGGGGGAACCCUGAUCCAGCCAUGCCGCGUGUGUGAAGAAGGCCUUUUGGUUGUAAAGCACUUUAAGCGAGGAGGAGGCUUACCUGGUUAAUACCUGGGAUAAGUGGACGUUACUCGCAGAAUAAGCACCGGCUAACUCUGUGCCAGCAGCCGCGGUAAUACAGAGGGUGCAAGCGUUAAUCGGAUUUACUGGGCGUAAAGCGCGCGUAGGUGGCUAAUUAAGUCAAAUGUGAAAUCCCCGAGCUUAACUUGGGAAUUGCAUUCGAUACUGGUUAGCUAGAGUAUGGGAGAGGAUGGUAGAAUUCCAGGUGUAGCGGUGAAAUGCGUAGAGAUCUGGAGGAAUACCGAUGGCGAAGGCAGCCAUCUGGCCUAAUACUGACACUGAGGUGCGAAAGCAUGGGGAGCAAACAGGAUUAGAUACCCUGGUAGUCCAUGCCGUAAACGAUGUCUACUAGCCGUUGGGGCCCUUGAGGCUUUAGUGGCGCAGCUAACGCGAUAAGUAGACCGCCUGGGGAGUACGGUCGCAAGACUAAAACUCAAAUGA